Arvicola amphibius (Eurasian water vole) is the source of this 532-nucleotide long non-coding RNA. RefSeq lists it as uncharacterized. NCBI's taxonomy places the organism in Eukaryota, Metazoa, Chordata, Mammalia, Rodentia, Cricetidae. The transcript is spliced from 2 exons. The record is from RefSeq and is a predicted model, not a curated record.
GCCGUGACGUCAGCGCGACCCCUGACCCCCUCGUGACCCGGUGACCUCCCCAUGACCCAUGUGACUCCUCGGCCCCGACCCCGUUCUCCUCCUGGCUCCGCGUUUGUUGACUGACUCUGCGAUGGUAAAACAGGCCCCGCCAUGGACGCCCUCACCCCGGGGUUUCCGCCCCCGAGACGCAGGGGCCCCGACUGAUGACAUCACCGCCUGAUGACCUCGCCGCGGUGGACGCCAUGGCCGCCGCCGACCUCGCCGCCUCCAGCCAUUCCGUGCCGCGUGCCUCCUCCUCCCCCCUGCGCGAUGAUGUCACCGCGGGGCGGGGCUCCCGCCUUGGCCCCGCCCCCUCCGCCCGCCCUUGCCUGACGUCAUCCGUCACGUGACUCCAUUUUCUACCAUGUAGAGAGAUUUCGCCCCCACCCCCUGCGGACGCCCCGCCCGCUACCCGUGAAGGGUGACAUCACUUCCUGUGAUGUCAUAAGGGGGCGGGGCCCGCAGACAUCGCCCACCAAUAAAAGAAAAGGUAUUUUUGAGA